This 494-nucleotide long non-coding RNA is filed under the name Gallus gallus (chicken). RNAcentral describes it as "lncRNA (ENSGALG00010025241.1)". Lineage: Eukaryota; Metazoa; Chordata; Aves; Galliformes; Phasianidae. The record is from RNAcentral.
CUCCUAAUCUGUGCACUGUUCUACUGCAGCCAAAUUUACUUUUAACCUUUAUGUCACCCAGCCAGAAUGUUAUGUAUGGUGAGAAGUGAGAAAGGAUGCUGGGUGCAGGACAGGGACCUCGUGACUUGCCUGGAUUCAGAGCCGAGCAAUGAGAUCAACAGUACAACCACUGACCUCCCAUUGUUCCCCUUGGCCAGAUGAAGGGCCCUGGCAGCUGUGGGCUCAAGAACCUCUCAUGAAGCACUUCUACAUUGCCUUCGCUUCUGGCCCUGGCUGGGUGAAUCCUCACAGCAGUCGCUUGCAGCUGAGUACAGUGCAGGACAUGGAGGUGAUCUCCUGCCCGCUGAGCCCGCUGCCCACUCAGAGAUGAGGCCUGGUGAGAUUCAGGCUUCCCUCACUUCAUGAAUUCCUCUGUGCCCCUCAGGCUGUGCCCUGGAGGACAGAAUGGAGGACUCCUGGCCUCCCUGAUCCCACCGCAGCAGAUACAAGGUAAG